GGGAAUAUAGCUCAGUUGGUAGAGUGCUUGCCUAGCAUGCACAAGGCCCUGGGUUCAAUCCCCAGUACCACCA
This 73-nucleotide transfer RNA is filed under the name Sciurus carolinensis (gray squirrel). It matches the Rfam family "tRNA". Rfam says of the family: Transfer RNA (tRNA) molecules are approximately 80 nucleotides in length. Their secondary structure includes four short double-helical elements and three loops (D, anti-codon, and T loops). Further hydrogen bonds mediate the characteristic L-shaped molecular structure. tRNAs have two regions of fundamental functional importance: the anti-codon, which is responsible for specific mRNA codon recognition, and the 3' end, to which the tRNAs corresponding amino acid is attached (by aminoacyl-tRNA synthetases). tRNAs cope with the degeneracy of the genetic code in two manners: having more than one tRNA (with a specific anti-codon) for a particular amino acid; and 'wobble' base-pairing, i.e. permitting non-standard base-pairing at the 3rd anti-codon position. Lineage: Eukaryota; Metazoa; Chordata; Mammalia; Rodentia; Sciuridae. RNAcentral also lists the same sequence under 2 other names. The record is from Rfam by way of RNAcentral.